UUGGCCUACGGGGCGCAGCUGUGGGGAAUAUUGCGCAAUGGACGAAAGUCUGACGCAGCGACGCCGCGUGAGGGAUGAAGGUUUUCGGAUCGUAAACCUCUGUCAGGAGGGAAGAAAGCGCAUGGCGCCAAUCAGCCAUGCGUUGACGGUACCUCCAAAGGAAGCGCCGGCUAACUCCGUGCCAGCAGCCGCGGUAAUACGGAGGGCGCGAGCGUUAAUCGGAAUUACUGGGCGUAAAGCGCGCGUAGGCUGUUGUGUAUGUUGUGGGUGAAAUCCCAGGGCUCAACCGUGGAUCAGCCCUUGAU
RNAcentral lists this ribosomal RNA (305 nucleotides) under uncultured bacterium. RNAcentral describes it as "bacterial SSU rRNA". It matches the Rfam family "Bacterial small subunit ribosomal RNA", at positions 334 to 631 of the family's 1533-position model. The record is from RNAcentral.